Molecule: signal recognition particle RNA, 301 nt
Filed under: Otolemur garnettii (small-eared galago)
Lineage: Eukaryota; Metazoa; Chordata; Mammalia; Primates; Galagidae
Description: Metazoan signal recognition particle RNA
Rfam family: Metazoan signal recognition particle RNA
About the family: The signal recognition particle (SRP) is a universally conserved ribonucleoprotein.
Source: Rfam by way of RNAcentral
GCCUGAUGCAACAGUGGCAUGUGUCUAUAUUCCCAACUACUCUAGAGACUAAGGCAGGAGGAUGUCUUGAGCCCAGGAGUUCUGGGCUGGAGUGUGCUAUGCCUAUCAGAUAUCCAUAGUAAGUUCAGUAUCAGUAUGGUGACCUCCCUGGAGUGGGUAACCACCAGGUUGCUAAGCAGGAAUGAACUGGCCCAGUUUGGAAAUGGAGCAGGUCAAAACUCCUGUGCUAAUCAGCAGUGGGAUCAUGCCUGUGAUUAGCCGCCACAUUCUAGCCCUGGCAACUAGUAAGAUCUCAUCUGUU